This 250-nucleotide ribosomal RNA is filed under the name uncultured prokaryote. RNAcentral's name for it is "partial 16S ribosomal RNA". It matches the Rfam family "Bacterial small subunit ribosomal RNA", at positions 524 to 773 of the family's 1533-position model. The record is from RNAcentral.
UACGUAGGGGGCGAGCGUUGUCCGGAAUGACUGGGCGUAAAGGGCGUGUAGGCGGCCGAUUAAGUAUGGAGUGAAAGUCCUGCAUUCAAUGUGGGAAUUGCUUUGUAGACUGGUUGGCUUGAGUGCGGAAGAGGUAAGCGGGAUUCCCAGUGUAGCGGUGAAAUGCGUAGAGAUUGGGAGGAACACCAGUGGCGAAGGCGACUUACUGGGCCGUAACUGACGCUGAGGCGCGAAAGCGUGGGGAGCGAAC